This 490-nucleotide ribosomal RNA is filed under the name uncultured bacterium. RNAcentral's name for it is "partial 16S ribosomal RNA". It matches the Rfam family "Bacterial small subunit ribosomal RNA", at positions 30 to 507 of the family's 1533-position model. The record is from RNAcentral.
AUUGUACGCUGGCGGCAGGCCUAACACAUGCAAGUCGAACGGUAACAGGAAGCAGCUUGCUGCUUUGCUGACGAGUGGCGGACGGGUGAGUAAUGUCUGGGAAACUGCCCGAUGGAGGGGGAUAACUACUGGAAACGGUAGCUAAUACCGCAUAACGUCGCAAGACCAAAGAGGGGGACCUUAGGGCCUCUUGCCAUCGGAUGUGCCCAGAUGGGAUUAGCUAGUAGGUGGGGUAACGGCUCACCUAGGCGACGAUCCCUAGCUGGUCUGAGAGGAUGACCAGCCACACUGGAACUGAGACACGGUCCAGACUCCUACGGGAGGCAGCAGUGGGGAAUAUUGCACAAUGGGCGCAAGCCUGAUGCAGCCAUGCCGCGUGAAUGAAGAAGGCCUUCGGGUUGUAAAGUACUUUCAGCGGGGAGGAAGGGAGUAAAGUUAAUACCUUGGCUCAUUGACGUUACCCGCAGAAGAAGCACCGGCUAACUCCGUG